GACGAACGCUGGCGGCGUGCUUAACACAUGCAAGUCGAACGGUAAGGCCCUUCGGGGUACACGAGUGGCGAACGGGUGAGUAACACGUGGGUGAUCUGCCCUGCACUUCGGGAUAAGCCUGGGAAACUGGGUCUAAUACCGGAUAGGACCAUGGACUUCACGGUUUGUGGUGGAAAGCUUUUGCGGUGUGGGAUGGGCCCGCGGCCUAUCAGCUUGUUGGUGGGGUAAUGGCCUACCAAGGCGACGACGGGUAGCCGGCCUGAGAGGGUGUCCGGCCACACUGGGACUGAGAUACGGCCCAGACUCCUACGGGAGGCAGCAGUGGGGAAUAUUGCACAAUGGGCGCAAGCCUGAUGCAGCGACGCCGCGUGAGGGAUGACGGCCUCGGUUGUAACC
RNAcentral lists this ribosomal RNA (396 nucleotides) under uncultured bacterium. RNAcentral's name for it is "bacterial SSU rRNA". It matches the Rfam family "Bacterial small subunit ribosomal RNA", at positions 28 to 430 of the family's 1533-position model. The record is from RNAcentral.